GAUGAACGCUGGCGGCGUGCCUAAUACAUGCAAGUCGAGCGAACAGACGAGGAGCUUGCUCCUCUGACGUUAGCGGCGGACGGGUGAGUAACACGUGGAUAACCUACCUAUAAGACUGGGAUAACUUCGGGAAACCGGAGCUAAUACCGGAUAAUAUAUUGAACCGCAUGGUUCAAUAGUGAAAGACGGUUUUGCUGUCACUUAUAGAUGGAUCCGCGCCGCAUUAGCUAGUUGGUAAGGUAACGGCUUACCAAGGCAACGAUGCGUAGCCGACCUGAGAGGGGGGUCAGCCACCCCAGAUCUGAGCCACGGCCCAGACCACUACGCGACGCAACGGUGGAGAAUCUUACGCAAGGCGCGAAAGCUUGACCGAGCACCGCCGCGUGAGUGAUGAAGGUCCUCGGAUCGUAGAACUAUGCUAUUUGUAAAGAGCAAAUGAGUAAGUCACUAUGCACGUCUUGACGGUACCUUAUGAGAAAGCCCCGGCUAACUACGUG
Molecule: ribosomal RNA, 497 nt
Filed under: uncultured bacterium
Lineage: Bacteria
Description: partial 16S ribosomal RNA
Rfam family: Bacterial small subunit ribosomal RNA
Source: RNAcentral